Molecule: ribosomal RNA, 466 nt
Filed under: uncultured bacterium
Lineage: Bacteria
Description: partial 16S ribosomal RNA
Rfam family: Bacterial small subunit ribosomal RNA
Source: RNAcentral
GACGAACGCUGGCGGCGUGCUUAACACAUGCAAGUCGAACGGAAAGGCCCAGCUUGCUGGGUACUCGAGUGGCGAACGGGUGAGUAACACGUGGGUGAUCUGCCCCUGACUUUGGGAUAAGCCUGGGAAACUGGGUCUAAUACCGGAUAUUACCUUACAUCGCAUGGUGUUUGGUGGAAAGCUUUUGCGGUUGGGGAUGGGCCCGCGGCCUAUCAGCUUGUUGGUGGGGUAAUGGCCUACCAAGGCGACGACGGGUAGCCGACCUGAGAGGGUGAUCGGCCAGACUGGGACUGAGACAUGGCCCAGACUCCAACGGGAGGCAGCAGUGGGGAAUAUUGCACAAUGGGAGCAAGCCUGAUGCAGCGACGCCGCGUGAGGGAUGACGGCCUUCGGGUUGUAAACCUCUUUCACCAGGGACGAAGCGUGAGUGGCGGUACCUGGAGAAGAAGCACCGGCCAACUACGUG